RNAcentral lists this ribosomal RNA (1501 nucleotides) under uncultured bacterium. Its description in RNAcentral is "bacterial SSU rRNA". It matches the Rfam family "Bacterial small subunit ribosomal RNA". The record is from RNAcentral.
UUGAUCCUGGCUCAGGACGAACGCUGGCGGCGUGCCUAAUACAUGCAAGUCGAACGCUUCUUUCCUCCCGAGUGCUUGCACUCAAUUGGAAAGAGGAGUGGCGGACGGGUGAGUAACACGUGGGUAACCUACCCAUCAGAGGGGGAUAACACUUGGAAACAGGUGCUAAUACCGCAUAACAGUUUAUGCCGCAUGGCAUAAGAGUGAAAGGCGCUUUCGGGUGUCGCUGAUGGAUGGACCCGCGGUGCAUUAGCUAGUUGGUGAGGUAACGGCUCACCAAGGCCACGAUGCAUAGCCGACCUGAGAGGGUGAUCGGCCACACUGGGACUGAGACACGGCCCAGACUCCUACGGGAGGCAGCAGUAGGGAAUCUUCGGCAAUGGACGAAAGUCUGACCGAGCAACGCCGCGUGAGUGAAGAAGGUUUUCGGAUCGUAAAACUCUGUUGUUAGAGAAGAACAAGGACGUUAGUAACUGAACGUCCCCUGACGGUAUCUAACCAGAAAUCCACGGCUAACUACGUGCCAGCAGCCGCGGUAAUACGUAGGUGGCAAGCGUUGUCCGGAUUUAUUGGGCGUAAAGCGAGCGCAGGCGGUUUCUUAAGUCUGAUGUGAAAGCCCCCGGCUCAACCGGGGAGGGUCAUUGGAAACUGGGAGACUUGAGUGCAGAAGAGGAGAGUGGAAUUCCAUGUGUAGCGGUGAAAUGCGUAGAUAUAUGGAGGAACACCAGUGGCGAAGGCGGCUCUCUGGUCUGUAACUGACGCUGAGGCUCGAAAGCGUGGGGAGCAAACAGGAUUAGAUACCCUGGUAGUCCACGCCGUAAACGAUGAGUGCUAAGUGUUGGAGGGUUUCCGCCCCUUCAGUGGCUGCACCAAACGCAUUAAAGCACUCCGCUUGGGGAGUACGACCGCAAGGGUUGAACUUCAAAGGAAUUGACGGGGGCCCGCACAAGCGGUGGAGCAUGUGGUUUAAUUGGAAGCAACGCGAAGAACCUUACCAGGUCUGGACAUCCUUUGACCACUCUAGAGAUAGAGCUUUCCCUUCGGGGACAAAGUGACAGGUGGUGCAUGGUUGUCGUCAGCUCGUGUCGUGAGAUGUUGGGUUAAGUCCCGCAACGAGCGCAACCCUUAUUGUUAGUUGCCAUCAUUUAGUUGGGCACUCUAGCGAGACUGCCGGUGACAAACCGGAGGAAGGUGGGGAUGACGUCAAAUCAUCAUGCCCCUUAUGACCUGGGCUACACACGUGCUACAAUGGGAAGUACAACGAGUCGCUAGACCGCGAGGUCAUGCAAAUCUCUUAAAGCUUCUCUCAGUUCGGAUUGCAGGCUGCAACUCGCCUGCAUGAAGCCGGAAUCGCUAGUAAUCGCGGAUCAGCACGCCGCGGUGAAUACGUUCCCGGGCCUUGUACACACCGCCCGUCACACCACGAGAGUUUGUAACACCCGAAGUCGGUGAGGUAACCUUUUUGGAGCCAGCCGCCUAAGGUGGGAUAGAUGAUUGGGGU